UUCCAUGUGGCGGAGUGAACAAGCUGCCUGCAUAUAGGAAGCCAUCUGACCGCUCCUGAGGCAGUUGGCUCGUCUGUGCCCACCUAGGCCAUCUCUGAUCUAUAGCUACGUCCUUCGACACGUUCGUUACAACUACCCGCUACAGAUGGAUACCUGAGAGGCACCCUUAAUCGAUUUACUGCACCGGAAACAACUGUCGAACUAUUUAACCGAUCCAGUAACAGCUGCGAUUUCUCGAGGAGCGUAGUAUUGACCAUUCGGAUCGAGUACCUGAAAGUUUGAUAACCGGAGUAAAAAGAAGAUUCGGUGCUGCACAGGGACGCCUGCUUUACGUUCAUUCAUCACGGAAUACGUGAAAUUGUACCUACAUGGAUCCAUGGACACGUAUACACUAUACGUGUACAACAAUUAACAACGAAGAGAUUUUACAUCACUAUACCCAUUGAAUCCAGAUGACAAAGGAGUCGGAAUAUCAUCAUUAUCAUAUUUGAAACUCACCGG
Long non-coding RNA from Diprion similis, 501 nucleotides. RefSeq lists it as uncharacterized. Lineage: Eukaryota; Metazoa; Arthropoda; Insecta; Hymenoptera; Diprionidae. The record is from RefSeq and is a predicted model, not a curated record. The transcript is spliced from 4 exons.